AAAUAAGCCGCAGUAUUUUGACUGUGCUAAGGUAGCAUAAUAGUUUGUCCAAAAUAAUUGCGGGCUGGAAUAAAGGAGUUGACGACACUUUGUCUUUUUUAACUAAAGAUUGGAAUUUGAUAUUUACAUCAAAAAGUGUAAAUUUCUAGGGGGACGAUAAGACCCUAUAAAACUUUAAUUUAGGGUAUUUUAUAGUAUUUAGGAUUAUAUAAAAUUUUAUAAAUUAGGCUGGGGCGGCACCUAAGAGGCUCUAGGAAAGAAAACAUAUUUAGUGAAUUUAAAGAUCUUAAAAAGACGUAGAAUAAGUUACUUUAGGGAUAACAGCAUAAUUUUUUUAUAUAGAACGCAUAAAAUAAAAAGACUUAUGACCUCGAUGUUGAAUUGAGGGGCCUAAUUUAAGCAGAAAUAAAUAUUGGGGGUCUGUUCGACCUUUAUUACC
This 439-nucleotide ribosomal RNA is filed under the name Chelator sp. A SB-2021a. Its description in RNAcentral is "partial 16S ribosomal RNA". It matches the Rfam family "Archaeal large subunit ribosomal RNA", at positions 2001 to 2664 of the family's 2987-position model. The record is from RNAcentral. Lineage: Eukaryota; Metazoa; Arthropoda; Malacostraca; Isopoda; Desmosomatidae.